This is a long non-coding RNA of Peromyscus leucopus (white-footed mouse), 768 nucleotides long. RefSeq lists it as uncharacterized. The record is from RefSeq and is a predicted model, not a curated record. The transcript is spliced from 3 exons. Lineage: Eukaryota; Metazoa; Chordata; Mammalia; Rodentia; Cricetidae.
UGCUGAGUCACUCCUUAUGGUGAAAACUGCUCCAGCUCUGACAGGGACUAGCUGUGUGAGGUGAUCUCUUUGUGAUUGGUGAAUGGAGAGAUGGGAUUCCUCUGGGACAGCCAGAGGAAGAAGGAAGCAAGGACCAAGAGACUGAAACUCCAAGGCGGGAAGAACUACGCUGAUCCUGCCAAGACUCACGGAGCCUCCGCCGCAGCUGACUGCUCACACAGGCUCCUGGAGCCGCUGAGGCAGGGGAGCAACCUCUGAGGCCGAGGUGGCUGAAUGCCAGCCAGAAAGAAGCCAGGCUGUGGGUGAGGACGUCAGUAAGGAGAGAGUGACUGUGGCCGCCUUCACCGGGGACAACAGCUUGCCGUUUCCAGGUACCUUCUCGGCACACCGACCUGUUCGACAUUUGGGAUCUGACUGGGCCGUUUCACGUGAUUCUCACUGGUUCGUUAUCACAGCAAAGCGUCGUUUGUCAUUGUACCUGCACUGUAGGCUUGCUUUGCGAAGCUCUCCGGCACAGGCAUCCCCACUGCAGGGUCAUGAGCUCGCUACCUCAGUGUCUUGUUGCUGGGGCCUAACUGCAAGGGCAUCCAGGACCAGCUCUGCAAACCCAUGUGUCCCUGGUUGUUGGUGUAGAUUCCUAGAAGUGCAUUGCUUGGUAGUCAGGAGUCAGCUCACGCAGGCUUUUUGCUGCAUCCAGCCAAACUGCUUUCAAGGAAGCAACCUACAUUUUUUCUGUUAAGGAACCAUUUAGGAGAUUAAAUUCCUGUG